UACGUAGGUGGCAAGCGUUGUCCGGAUUUACUGGGCGUAAAGAGCGCGCAGGCGGUCGAAUAAGUCGAAUGUGAAAGCCCCCGGCUUAACUGGGGAGGGUCAUUCGAUACUGCUCGACUUGAAGGCAGGAGAGGGUAGUGGAAUUCCCGGUGUAGUGGUGAAAUGCGUAGAUAUCGGGAGGAACACCAGUGGCGAAGGCGGCGACCUGGGCUGACACUGACGCUGAGGUUCGAAAGCGUGGGGAGCAAACAGG
RNAcentral lists this ribosomal RNA (253 nucleotides) under uncultured bacterium. RNAcentral's name for it is "partial 16S ribosomal RNA". It matches the Rfam family "Bacterial small subunit ribosomal RNA", at positions 524 to 776 of the family's 1533-position model. The record is from RNAcentral.